RNAcentral lists this transfer RNA (69 nucleotides) under Yungipicus canicapillus (Grey-capped woodpecker). RNAcentral's name for it is "Dendrocopos canicapillus (Grey-capped woodpecker) tRNA-Arg". The record is from RNAcentral. Lineage: Eukaryota; Metazoa; Chordata; Aves; Piciformes; Picidae.
AGAGAGUUAGUCUAACAAAGACAGUUGAUUUCGGCUCAACAAAUCAUAGCUCUACCCUAUGACCCUCUU